AGUUACAAGUAUUUUGUAGGUAUGUGUUUUGUGCCCUGUUUCAAGUUAAGUGCCAAGUUCAAGAGGAUCAUGACAGUUGGUUUGCUGUUGAAUUUCUUCUCAGAGCUGGAUGGUCUUUCAACAACACUGCUCCGGGUCUUCAGCAAGAAAGGUGCUUCUCAUGCAAGGAAGAUACAGAGGAUCCUGGUGCCCAUGACUCAGACUGACAACAUUGAUGUGAAGAGGGAGUGCAUGCUGAGGAGCUGACGGUCUACCUGAAUGAAGAGCCAGACAAAGUGGAUGUUGAUCUGGACGGUCCAGCUGAAACGUAUUGUCUUCGUGUGCGUGUGAUCGGCAGAGAGUCCUCAACGACAUUGGUAACGUACCUGUGGCCAUUGCAGUGUUUGUUUUGGUUUAUGCUCUUAAUCUCUGUUACCUUCCAGAAUGGAAGUACACUUUCAAAUUUCUGUUUCAUUCUAACCGUCUGUUUCAUCAGUUUUUGCACUGCUUUUAAAUGUACACUGUGUAAGAUUCUUAGUUGUUUAUUUCCAGAAUUCAUGCUACCCAUUC
Long non-coding RNA from Engraulis encrasicolus (European anchovy), 549 nucleotides. RefSeq lists it as uncharacterized. NCBI's taxonomy places the organism in Eukaryota, Metazoa, Chordata, Actinopteri, Clupeiformes, Engraulidae. The transcript has 3 exons. The record is from RefSeq and is a predicted model, not a curated record.